GGCCUUCCUGGUACCGCUUUCUCCUUCCACCACGAGGUGACUUGGGACCCCGCUGGCUUCCGCUUGGGCUCCGGCGCGGUCGGCGUCGGAGAAAACGCUGACGCGGGGCGCGGAUGCCCCGUUUGAAGGGACGUGGUAAAUGUGACGGCUCCCGGCAGAGACGGAACGGGAGGCUUUCGGAGCACGGCGAGAAAAACCCCCCACGGUGCGCAGACUUCAGAUCGAGCCUGAGUGCUGAAGGUUUUCAUUUUAAUCGUACUCGCCGAGAGACGUAAAUCCGUGAGCGAUGUGUAUCAAUGUUUGAGAAGCUGAGUUCCGUGCGUCAGCGUCAGCGCUGUGAGAGUUGGCCCACGCGUGCUGUGUGGCUUUUUCAUCUCCAUAGAGGAGGAUUGGGAAUUGGGGGGGAGUAUGACGGGGUACCUCACAGUAGAAGCCUUAGACUCCCGGGAGCACCCACGCCUUUUGACUCUGAGAGCCUGUGUGAAAUCAGGGUCUCAGAAGGGGAAAGGAAAUUUUACGAUUCCUAAGAACAAUAGCUGAUACUUUUCCUGCCAACAGUUUACAGGUACCUUUCAAGAAUAUUUUACUGACCUCGGGAAAUUGGAAUACUUUGUUAUUUUGUUACCUUACUUGUAUUCUCAUCUUCCUCUCCCACCCCCACGCCGCCCCCCACCCCGUCCUUAGGCCAUGGAAUUUUUAAUGUUUAUAAAUGCAUUUUUUAGUUUGUUUGUUUGGGGUUUUGUUUUUGUUUUAUUUUGUUUCUGAGUCAUAGUCUAUGUAGUCCUAGCUAUCCUGAAACUUAUGUAUAGUAGCCUGGCCUCAAAGUCACAGACAUCCACCUGCCUCUGCAUCCCCCAUCCCCACCCCAUCCCUCAGUGCUGGGAUUAAAAAUGUCCACCACUAUGACUGACCUCAUGCUUUAGUUUUUAGAACAAGAUUAUUAAUAUAAAACAGUAUUUCCUGAAGCUAGGCCCAGGAAGACAAAUUUCGAAUAUUUUCUCAAAUGCUCGAAAUGUAGAUUUGAAGCUAGACACACACGUACACAUUUGACAUAGAAGUAGAAGGGAAGAUAGGGAUAAGAAAGGCAAUGAGGGGAAGAAAGUUACCUCAUGUUCUCUCUCUAUCCGGGAAUGAUUAUGUCUGUGGCAGAAAGCAGAGGACUGUUUGGAGACAGAGGGACGAUGAAAAUGAGCAAACAAAGAUAUGUACAUGUAUGAAAAUGUCAUAGUGAAACUGAAUGCUAAGUAAAAUAAAAUGAAGGCCGUUUACUUCUGUAGAUUAUCUGAUUUGGGCAUGAACACAGUCAGUUGAUCAAAUGAUUUUUAAAAGUGCAUUUUUUCCAUUUCUCUCUUUUAGACUCAUUUCCUUGUACAGUGGGGGUGAAUGUGCAGGAAAGGAAUGACUGUUUGAUGAUCUAAAUAAAUAUACAACUAUUGAUUCGUGCAUCCCAACCGUUAAGUAUCAAAUGAAGUAUUUCCUAGCAGUGAGAGAGCGAGUGCUGAGGGAAAGUCACAACAGAGAGGUCGUGACUCUUGGACUCACUUGAUGAUGAUGAGACUUCCAACAGGAAUUCAUGGAAACCCUGAAUACUCAUGAACCAGGAACGAGGCCUGAGACACAGCUCCAUGAGUUAUAACUACUUCAAGAAGACAGAAGACUGAGGUUUCAGCCAUUACUUUCAACUGAGCCUAGAGCAUCCAGCCACACUUGCAAUGACCUUGAAAGCCAGUGUCCAGUGGGAACUGGGGAGGGGAUGAAUAUGACUUAAACACAUUAUAUGAAAUUCUCAACCAACUAAUAAACAAUAUUUUUUAAAUAGGAAACUGAAGGUUUCAUUGGCUCCUUCCUCUAUGGGCCUUGUCAUAAAUAACAUGUAUUGUUAAAAAAAAAAAAAAAGUCAAACCCAAACCUAGCACAGCAGGAAGCAUGGCACCAGGAGGGGACAAGCAUGACUGGAGGCUUCCACAAAAGUUCAUCUGUAACUUGUUUUAAAUUCACAUUGGUCUGAGAAUUUAUCAGAAGCACCCUUAUUUUCUAAAUGAUUUCUUUGUGCUUAAAUAUAAAAGUUCAUGCUAACGUUUCAAUAAUACCCUAGGAAGAAUUUCAAUCUGCAGAUUUCCAAAGUGCCUUUUAGUUUAAGGUUCCCAUCCUUAGUCUGUACUUCCCAUUGCUAAAUUUUAUGGGUUUUAUUUUACUCCUUAAUCCCAUAAUUUAACUUUGUAUUUACCUUAAGUCCUGGAGUUGGAGGGAAUUUUUUCGAAUACAGUUAAUCAUCUAUUUUGCUUGAGCCUCUUGUGUUUGACCGUGCAUGCCUGGUGCAUGCCCAGUUCUGUUAGCUCCUCAGCGCUCUAGUUUUGUAAGCUUUCAGUCAGUUGCUGCUCUCCUCUGAACACUUUCCAAGCCUCUUUUUCUCUUUAUACAGUGUGGCAUAUAAAUUGAAAAAUGCAGUUUGUUCCAACUGAUGCCUGUCCAAUGCCAAACAAAGCAAAAAUAAUUACUCUGCUCCCUUUCACACAUGCACUCAGUAAAACCCUGUGAAGUCUUUCCCUUCUGUCAAUGCAGGGAAGUUACGUCCAGCUAACACCAAGCAGAAACACUGGAUCUCACUUGGCUUUGUAGUUUUAUGUACUCGUUCAGGCAACCCAGUAGCUUCUUAUCCAUUAAAUGUUAAGAUACUAGAAAGAAUUUCAUGUGUACACCCUUUAUUUAUUUAUUUAUUUAUUUGUGGGUUUUUCUUUUUGUUUUGUUCCGUUUUCAAGACAGAGUUUCUCUGUAUA
This is a non-coding RNA of Cricetulus griseus (Chinese hamster), 2777 nucleotides long. Lineage: Eukaryota; Metazoa; Chordata; Mammalia; Rodentia; Cricetidae. The record is from RefSeq and is a predicted model, not a curated record.